GGCGAGAUAGCAAAGUGGUUAUGCAGCGGAUUGCAAAUCCGUCUACGCCGGUUCGAUUCCGGCUCCGGGCACCA
This 74-nucleotide transfer RNA is filed under the name Neisseria perflava. Its description in RNAcentral is "tRNA-Cys". It matches the Rfam family "tRNA". From Rfam's summary of the family: Transfer RNA (tRNA) molecules are approximately 80 nucleotides in length. Their secondary structure includes four short double-helical elements and three loops (D, anti-codon, and T loops). The record is from RNAcentral. Lineage: Bacteria; Pseudomonadati; Pseudomonadota; Betaproteobacteria; Neisseriales; Neisseriaceae.